UACGAAGGGGGCUAGCGUUGUUCGGAAUCACUGGGCGUAAAGCGCACGUAGGCGGAUCUUUAAGUCAGGGGUGAAAUCCCGAGGCUCAACCUCGGAACUGCCUUUGAUACUGCGGAUCUCGAGUCCGGGAGAGGUGAGUGGAACUGCGAGUGUAGAGGUGAAAUUCGUAGAUAUUCGCAAGAACACCAGUGGCGAAGGCGGCUCACUGGCCCGGAACUGACGCUGAGGUGCGAAAGCGUGGGGAGCAAACAGG
This 253-nucleotide ribosomal RNA is filed under the name uncultured bacterium. RNAcentral's name for it is "partial 16S ribosomal RNA". It matches the Rfam family "Bacterial small subunit ribosomal RNA", at positions 524 to 776 of the family's 1533-position model. The record is from RNAcentral.